Molecule: unclassified non-coding RNA, 433 nt
Filed under: soil metagenome
Description: partial contains 5.8S ribosomal RNA, internal transcribed spacer 2, and large subunit ribosomal RNA
Rfam family: 5.8S ribosomal RNA (bases 1-120)
Source: RNAcentral
GAUGAAGAACGCAGCGAAAUGCGAUACGUAAUGUGAAUUGCAGAAUUCAGUGAAUCAUCGAAUCUUUGAACGCAUAUUGCGCUCUCUGGUAUUCCGGAGAGCAUGCUUGUUUGAGUAUCAGUAAACACCUCAACUUCCAUAUCUUUUUUGAAAUGGAAGUUGGACUUGAGUGAUCCCAACGCUUUUCCUCACCGAAAAGUGGCGGGUUACUUGAAAUGCAGGUGCAGCUGGACUUUUCUCUGAGCUAUAAGCAUAUCUAUUUAGUCUGCCUAAAAAACAGAUUAUUACCUUUGCUGCAGCUAACAUAAAGGAGAUUAGUUCUUGUGCUGACUGAUGCAGGAUUCACAAAGACAGGCUUCGGCCGACUUUGUAAACUCGAUCUCAAAUCAAGUAAGACUACCCGCUGAACUUAAGCAUAUCAAUAAGCGGAGGA